AUCCCAGUUAAACUGGCUUCAAUAUUUAUCUGAUUCAUGGGAGGCCAAAAGAAAUGAUGGGAGAUUCGCUGAUAUCACUUCCUUUCCUUGGAGGUGUUUCAUUAGUAUCUUGCCUUAUAUCU
Molecule: small nucleolar RNA, 122 nt
Organism: Dendrobium catenatum
Lineage: Eukaryota; Viridiplantae; Streptophyta; Magnoliopsida; Asparagales; Orchidaceae
Source: RefSeq, a predicted model, not a curated record